GACGAACGCUGGCGGCGUGCUUAACACAUGCAAGUCGAACGGAAAGGCCCUGCUUGUGUGGGACGCUCGAGUGGAGAACGGGUGAGUAACACGUGAGUAACCUGCCCUUGACUUUGGGAACACUUCAGGAAACUGGGGCUAAUAGCGGAUAGGAGCUCCUGCUGCAUGGUGGGGGGGGGAGUGUUUCGGCGGUUGGGGAUGGACUCGCGGCUUAUCAGCUUGUUGGUGGGGUAGUGGCUUACCAAGGCUUUGACGGGUAGCCGGCCUGAGAGGGUGACCGGCCACAUUGGGACUGGGAUACGGCCAAGACUCCUCCGGGGGGCAGCAGUGGGGAAUAUUGCACAAUGGGCGGAAGCCUAAUGCAGCAACGCCGCGUGCGGGAUGACGGCCUUCGGGUUGUAACCCGCUUUCGCCUGUGACGAAGCGUGAGUGACGGUAAUGGGUAAAGAAGCACCGGCUAACUACGUG
Molecule: ribosomal RNA, 468 nt
Filed under: uncultured bacterium
Lineage: Bacteria
Description: partial 16S ribosomal RNA
Rfam family: Bacterial small subunit ribosomal RNA
Source: RNAcentral